Molecule: ribosomal RNA, 468 nt
Filed under: uncultured bacterium
Lineage: Bacteria
Description: partial 16S ribosomal RNA
Rfam family: Bacterial small subunit ribosomal RNA
Source: RNAcentral
GACGAACGCUGGCGGCGUGCUUAACACAUGCAAGUCGAACGGAAAGGCCCUGCUUUUGUGGGGUGCUCGAGUGGCGAACGGGUGAGUAACACGUGAGUAACCUGCCCUUGACUUUGGGAUAACUUCAGGAAACUGGGGCUAAUACCGGAUAGGAGCUCCUGCUGCAUGGUGGGGGUUGGAAAGUUUCGGCGGUUGGGGAUGGACUCGCGGCUUAUCAGCUUGUUGGUGGGGUAGUGGCUUACCAAGGCUUUGACGGGUAGCCGGCCUGAGAGGGUGACCGGCCACAUUGGGACUGAGAUACGGCCCAGACUCCUACGGGAGGCAGCAGUGGGGAAUAUUGCACAAUGGGCGGAAGCCUGAUGCAGCAACGCCGCGUGCGGGAUGACGGCCUUCGGGUUGUAAACCGCUUUCGCCUGUGACGAAGCGUAAGUGACGGUAAUGGGAGAAGAAGCACCGGCUAACUACGUG